UUAGAGUUUGAUCAUGGCUCAGGACGAACGCUGGCGGCGUGCUUAACACAUGCAAGUCGAGCGAUGAGAUCCCUUCGGGGAAGGAUUAGCGGCGAACGGGUGAGGAACACGUGAAGAAUCUGCCUUCAACUCUGGGAUAACACCGGGAAACCGGUGCUAAUACCGGAUAUGAGCCUUGAUCGCAUGAUCGGGGCUGGAAAGUUUUUCGGUUGAAGAUGACUUCGCGGCCUAUCAGCUUGUUGGUGAGGUAAUGGCUCACCAAGGCGACGACGGGUAGCCGGCCUGAGAGGGCGACCGGCCACACUGGGACUGAGACACGGCCCAGACCCCUACGGGAGGCAGCAGUGGGGAAUAUUGGGCAAUGGACGAAAGUCUGACCCAGCGACGCCGCGUGAGGGAUGAAGGCCUUCGGGUUGUAAACCUCUUUCAGCAGGGAAGAAGCGAAAGUGACGGUACCUGCAGAAGAAGCACCGGCUAACUAUGUGCCAGCAGCCGCGGUAAUACAUAGGGUGCAAGCGUUGUCCGGAAUUAUUGGGCGUAAAGAGCUCGUAGGUGGUUAGUUACGUCGGAUGUGAAAAUCUAGGGCUCAACCCUAGACCUGCAUCCGAUACGGGCUAGCUUGAGUUUGGUAGGGGAGACUGGAAUUCCUGGUGUAGCGGUGGAAUGCGCAGAUAUCAUGAGGAACACCAAUGGCGAAGGCAGGUCUCUGGGCCAAUACUGACACUGAGGAGCGAAGUGUGGGGAGCGAACAGGAUUAGAUACCCUGGUAGUCCACACAGUAAACGAUGGGCACUAGU
This 797-nucleotide ribosomal RNA is filed under the name uncultured Actinomycetes bacterium. RNAcentral describes it as "bacterial SSU rRNA". It matches the Rfam family "Bacterial small subunit ribosomal RNA", at positions 1 to 820 of the family's 1533-position model. Lineage: Bacteria; Bacillati; Actinomycetota; Actinomycetes. The record is from RNAcentral.